Long non-coding RNA from Crotalus tigris (Tiger rattlesnake), 2272 nucleotides. RefSeq lists it as uncharacterized. The record is from RefSeq and is a predicted model, not a curated record. Lineage: Eukaryota; Metazoa; Chordata; Lepidosauria; Squamata; Viperidae. The transcript is spliced from 2 exons.
CAGUAUAUUAAAAAAAAAAAAAAAGAAGUCAUCAAAGCAACAUUUUGGUAUUUUCUUAAGAUGGCUGACUUUGAAAAAGUUCUUAGAAUGUACAAGUUGCACCUUCAAGUUUGAUUUAAAGUCUACUUAUCAAGAAAAAUGACUGCAGAAAUGAUAAGAAUAGACCUUUGUGGCAGUGCUUAAGUUCCCCUUUUUCCUUUCCUUUUCCUUUUUAAUGAGGACUAGAAUAUUUCCACUGUGAACUGCCCACAUAGAGCACCAAAAGAUCACACUUGCGUCAUGCCAAUCUUUUUCUUUGUGCCUAUAAUUGGCUGAUUGUGCUAGCAACGCAUGAGCCUGCUCUCCCCCUCCUUUCCCCUCAGAACAGCCUUGGCUACCUAUUAUUAAGCCUUGUUGCUGGUUCCCUGAGAGGAACUGCUCUGCUCUACUGCUUCUUGCUAGCAAAGGCAGUGCCAUUGCGCAGGUUGAAACAGCAGAAGCAGCAUCCAUUUUAAUCUGCAGGAAGCCUCUCUCAGUAGAAAGCUGUCCUCUUCUUUAGACCCUGCAGGUUUUUCAGUUUGCAGCUUCGGUAAACAGUCUCGGCUCCUCAGUCUGCUUUUCUGGAUGAUGCUCUGAGAUGGUACACCAGGAAAACUGUUCUUAUCAGGGACCUUUCAAGACUCCAGUAGGAAGUAUUGAGCUGUAUUGUGUUUAGGCUGUGUGUAAUUGGAAGGUGGUAUCAAGAAUCAAUGUUGUGAAAAAAUCUUAUCAUCAAAGCAAUAUAAAACACUAAACCAAACUCAGAUUUUUUUUUUUAUUUCUAAUCAGAAUUUCCCUAUGGUUUCUUUAUAGUGGAAUAUUUCAGUGGGUUUUUAGUAGACAUGUUAGUUUAUAUAGUGUUCCUCGCUCUUUUUUAAAAUGUAUUUUAUGUUUUCAGUUUGUUUAAACAAAUGGGCAACUAUAGAGAAAAGUUGAUAUAGGACAAAUCUGACAUUAUACUUUAUUUUAAAAGAUAUGUCCCUGUAUAUAAUAAUUUAGAUGGAAAUGCAAGAAGAUAAUGUUAUUUAAGGACAGUGUAGGGAUAAACAACAACUGGUUCUAUAAUUUUUAAUAAAUACCCAGCUGUGUCACAAAGAAUCUUCUAGAGCCAUAUUUUGAAUUCUGGUUGGUGUUAAAGGUCAUCUUUUGUCUCUUUUGAAAAAAAAACUCAGUUCUUUAGCAAGUUUGAUUAGCUGAAAGUACACUGAGUACCAUCAGAGAUAUUAGAGUGAGCAGAUUUUUACAUAGUUCGGUAUUUAAAGUUUGGUUGCCUGGCAUAAUGAAUUUGGUAUGGAUUAUAAAUUGUAUGUUAACAGAUAAAAUCUUUGUAAUAAACAAAGUUACUUUAAAAACAAAAAGAGUUUAUCACACCAUUAUUAAGCUAAGAAAAAAACAGAAAUUAUAUAUUAAUUCAUAUUUUUAAUCCAACCGUGAUACAGAAUCUAAAUUUUAGAGUCCAGUUGAAAGAUAAUAUGAUUAGAUUCCCACAAUGCAAGCAGUAAAAGCUGCUUCUUUCAUGGAGAGAAGAAAAAUCUUAAAAGCUGCUAUCACUGCCAUCUGUGGGUAGCUAAUAAAUGCCUUGUUUGCAUCAUCUUUCUAGAUGCAUUGAGUCAACAGCUAUGUGCUAUUAAAAUAUAGUGCUUCAUCCUUUUUAAAACAAACUAUUCAAACAUUAGACUCUUCAUUUAUUUUUGAUGUAGAACCAAAAAUCACUAAGGACAUUUCCAUACUUUGGUUUCCCUUCUUAUAUUAUCAUAAUCCAUGAAUUGUGACUUAAUAGCCAUAAGUGAACAAACUAAUAUAUCACCUAUUUUCUUUGGUUUUCCUCUUUUCUAUGUGCCAAAUGGACAACAAUAGAAAUGAGAGAAUGCUGUAUGAGGUUCAAAGCUGAGAUGAUAUUUUAUGCUGUUUAAACAAGCCAGGAUUAGUAAACCAGCUUUGAAUCUGAAUCUUGCUAUGGGUUUGUAAACUAUUAGCCUAGGUUAUUUUUUCAUACAAAAAUCUCCCUCUUCAGACAGAGAGGGAAAAAAGACUACAUGGAUCAAUGAAUUGCUUAUGUAAAUUCUGGUUUAUCAGUAAGGAUUCAUUGCUUUCUUUGGGAUUACUUUAAUUUUUUAAAAAAGAAUGGGAAAUUAAAUACAGAAAACAAAGCCAUCUCCACCUUGUUUACAAGAUUGUUCUGGUUGCACAGAAGCCCCCUCAAUAUUUUGGAUGGAUGGAUAAUAAAUAAAUAAAUAAUGCUGGAUGGCUGCAA